Prunus avium (sweet cherry) is the source of this 3140-nucleotide non-coding RNA. Lineage: Eukaryota; Viridiplantae; Streptophyta; Magnoliopsida; Rosales; Rosaceae. The record is from RefSeq and is a predicted model, not a curated record.
GAUAAAGAUGACUGACCAACCAAUUAUAUUUUUUUGAGUCAAGGUAAUUCAUUUAUCUAUCAUUGGCAUGAGGCACAGGCAUUGAGAGUUGCUUCUAUGGAUGCACUUGAGGACAGAAAUCUGGUUGCCACUUUGGAUGUGAAUCGGGCUUCUGUGGAUGCAUAGAAUGCGUCCAUUUUCAGUCCAUUUCGAACCAGCUGGUUUGGGGGCAGCCAUGGAAGAUCUGCAUUCAUUGUUAGACAUGCGUGGGGGGCCGUCGAUUUUCGUUUGGGAGGUGCGCUGCAAAUCCAGCCGCACUUUUAGUCUUCGUCUCACAGAUUUGUGGUCGGGAGAUUUCUCAUCGUUUCUACAGCCUUCGACUCAGACGUCUUCAAUCUUUCUUGCUUGCGAGUUUUUGCAUCCUUUGUCUUCAGGUUCUUGGGUAAUCCCUAAUGCUAUAUAAGAGGAGCUGAGGUAUUUAUAUUUCACAACAUAUUGGGUUCUAUCAGGAAGGGGAUUGAAUCUCACAGAUUAGCUCAGGUGUUCUUUUGCUGCUUUGGAUAGAGCUGUUUGGUGAUUGUUUUUGGUUCUGUUAAGCAAGAGGUGCUCUUUUGUUGCUUUGGAUUGAGCAGUUUGGUUGGUGUUUUCGGUUAUGUUAAGCAGGAGAUAGCUGUUGUGAUCCUGCUUUUGUGUGGCUGUUUUUCAAAGUGCUUGAUAGCUUCUUUGACUACAGAGUUAAAACCUCUUGAAUGGAGAAGAAGGAACAUCAGCCAGCUACGCAACAAAUGCAGCAACAGCUAGAUGUCCUUGCAAGAAACAUCAAAAAAGAAAAAUCCAUGUCCACCACCCAUUAAAAUAUAGAUAGACGCCUGCACAAGUUUUUUUAAACAAUAUGCAGCUCAAGGCUGCUCAUAUUUUGAUGUUUUAAUAGCUGCUUGAUAUAUUAAAAUAUGCAUAAUAUUUUUACAACUUAAACUUGCCAAACUAAGCAUGAUGGCACUGUUUAGAUCUCAAUUUAUAUAUAAAUAGGGCCAGUACUUUAAAAUAAUAAGCAGCACAUAUAUCAUCUUAUUAAUUUAUUUUUUUGUAACUUAAACGUACUAAACUAAGCAUGAUGCUACUAUUUAGAUCUCAAUAUACAUAUAAACAAAGCCAUAUGUUUCCUACAUAUUUUUACGACUUUAUACAUAUUUGGCGCAAUUUCAAAACCCGCAGCAUCGUGCGGCGCCUUUGCUAGUUAAAAUGAAAUGUCCAAAUUUGUUGGUUCACCUUUUGGUGGAAUAAUGAACCAUCAUGUUCCCAGUCAAGACAUGUCAAACAGGAAUUUGACGUGGUCACUAAAACUAGAUUAUCCUCUUUGUUCUUUGAACACAUGAAGCACUCCAUAUAUUCAGCAAGAACAUACAGGGUGCUUCAUGCCUCCAAGAAUGAAGAUGAUAAUCUAGCUUGUACUCAAUCAAGUAAUCCAACUAGAUCUUAAAAAAGUCUGUUGAUGAAAUAGUUGAACUGAAGAUAUUUAUCAAGGAAAACAAAUUGAAGUUUUUGUUUGGAGUCGAUGUGGGACUGCUGCAACCACCCACGACCCGGUCUCUUCUCUGUCCUAAUGAGUCCCGGUUCUUUGGUAAUUUCAUUGGAGACCUGUUCACCCUUUGAUGGAACUCUUCAUCGUCGUCUUUGGUCAUGGUGGUAGUGGACAUGCUCUGACUCAGGCUGCAAAUCUCCGAUUCCUGUUAGAUGUCUUCAUUGUUAUUGUAAAUAGGUAUUUUCUCCUCCAUCUUUUCUGGGUCUUCUUGUUUGAUUUUCUUCUCAAAGACUAGUGCUUUUAAGGACCUAAAGCUGAGGACUUUUCAGGGGUAGUGGUGCUCAUACAGCAAUCCAUUUGGUUGUUUUCAAAAGUUUCAAACUUUCAAUCAAGAUUUGCUAAUCAGAAGCUACUAGCUAGUAGCAGCUAGUGGACUGUGAGUGAGUAGAGUGUUGUUGCUGCUGCAGUAGGCUUUAAUCAAAUUGGAAAAAGCAUUGUGGGGUUUGGGCUCAAAGAUUGGUCGUUAUUGCCGGAAUUGAGGUCACUGACACAGACCAUGCUCUACGAUGGACCAUGGUGGUUGGUUGGAUUAAUUUGGUCGGGACAAGUCAGGGGUUCUUGUUGAAAAUACUGACAGGUUGGGAGCUUUGGGGGUCAAUGAAAUGUAUUUAUUAUAUUGCAUUGCAUGUAGGACAAAAAGUAAAAGGAAAUACUUGGCAAAGGAAAUAUAUUUUCCAAAAAACAAGAAGGAAAUCUAGUUUAUUGAGUUUAGUCUAAAUUUUGGUAUAUUAUGUUAAGGUUCUUGUUGGGUGAGGAGAGGAGAGAUAAAAAUAUAAAAAAUAUAAAAAGUUGGAAGUCUUUUGAUAUUUUCAAUGCGUAUAUUUUUAAAAAUUAAUAAUCUAUUUUAAAUGUAAUCUUAACCAUUGAAAACCUCUUUUAAGGUUCUUGUUGGGUGAGGACAUCAAAGACGAAUAACAUUAACAGAAGGGCUUAGAUUGAUAACACCUCUGCUCUGAAACCCCUUAUUUGUUUACUUGUUUGUUUAUUAUCUAUCAUUGGCAUGAGGCACAGGCAUUGAGAGUUGCUCCUAUGGAUGCACACGAGGACAGAAGUCUGGUUGCCACUUUGGAUGUGAAUCGGGCUUCUGUAUUGCAUGUAAGUCUCAUCCUUGAUUUAUGUGGGUAUGUACCAAACGUAACAAGUUCAGUUCUUUAUCAACAGAUUUCAUUGCUAACUGUUAGUGUAUCGUUUUAUUUAUAUAAUAUACACUAUCUUAUUUCUCAGUUAGGGUCAAAGUUUAGAAAUUUCCGAAAGUUUUCGGAAUCUAUUGUGAUCACAGGAAUCUAUUGGGUAAUGUUGGGACCAGUUGCUGCAGCUUGGAUAAGAAAGUUCAAGGAGUAUUAUUAUUAUUUUGAAAAUCGGAAUCGGAAUGGUGAAUUACAAUUCCUGAGGGAGAUGAAGGUUCGUCUAGAGAGGGAGAGGGAGAUGGCAAUUGCAAUAGAAAUACAAUCGGCCAUAGAGGAACUGAUUAGAGCUAUGAGCACAGAUGGAGAAGCAGAAGGAGAAUCCAGCUGAUUUCUCCGUCUCCUUCUUCAUCUCUGCUCAAAACAUAUCAAUUUUAAAGACCUCAGCUGAAAAA